CCUACGGGGGGCAGCAGUGGGGAAUUUUGGACAAUGGGCGCAAGCCUGAUCCAGCAAUGCCGCGUGAGUGAAGAAGGCCUUUGGGUUGUAAAGCUCUUUCGGUCGGGAAGAAGGAAUGGGUGCUAAUAUCACCUGUGACAGACGGUACCGGCAUAAGAAGCACCGGCUAACUACGUGCCAGCAGCCGCGGUAAUACGUAGGGUGCAAGCGUUAAUCGGAAUGACUGGGCGUAAAGGGUGUGUAGGCGGUUUGUUAAGUCUGAUGUGAAAGCCCCGAGCUUAACUUGGGAAUUGCGUUGGAUACUGGCAAGCUAGAGUACGUAAGAGGGGGGUAGAAUUCCACGUGUAGCAGUGAAAUGCGUAGAGAUGUGGAGGAAUACCGAUGGCGAAGGCAGCCCCCUGGGACUAUACUGACGCUGAGGCACGAAAGCGUGGGGAGCAAACAGGAUUAGAUACCCCAGUAGUC
Molecule: ribosomal RNA, 465 nt
Filed under: uncultured soil bacterium
Lineage: Bacteria
Description: bacterial SSU rRNA
Rfam family: Bacterial small subunit ribosomal RNA
Source: RNAcentral